ACGCCGCGUGAGUGAUGAAGGCUUUCGGGUCGUAAAACUCUGUUGUUAGGGAAGAACAAGUGCUAGUUGAAUAAGCUGGCACCUUGACGGUACCUAACCAGAAAGCCACGGCUAACUACGUGCCAGCAGCCGCGGUAAUACGUAGGUGGCAAGCGUUAUCCGGAAUUAUUGGGCGUAAAGCGCGCGCAGGUGGUUUCUUAAGUCUGAUGUGAAAGCCCACGGCUCAACCGUGGAGGGUCAUUGGAAACUGGGAGACUUGAGUGCAGAAGAGGAAAGUGGAAUUCCAUGUGUAGCGGUGAAAUGCGUAGAGAUAUGGAGGAACACCAGUGGCGAAGGCGACUUUCUGGUCUGUAACUGACACUGAGGCGCGAAAGCGUGGGGAGCAAACAGGAUUAGAUACCCUGGUAGUCCACGCCGUAAACGAUGAGUGCUAAGUGUUAGAGGGUUUCCGCCCUUUAGUGCUGAAGUUAACGCAUUAAGCACUCCGC
RNAcentral lists this ribosomal RNA (488 nucleotides) under Bacillus sp. (in: firmicutes). RNAcentral describes it as "bacterial SSU rRNA". It matches the Rfam family "Bacterial small subunit ribosomal RNA", at positions 394 to 872 of the family's 1533-position model. The record is from RNAcentral. Lineage: Bacteria; Bacillati; Bacillota; Bacilli; Caryophanales; Bacillaceae.